CUUUGACGUUAGCGGCGGACGGGUGAGUAACACGUGGGUAACCUACCUAUAAGACUGGGAUAACUUCGGGAAACCGGAGCUAAUACCGGAUAAUAUUUCGAACCGCAUGGUUCGAUAGUGAAAGAUGGUUUUGCUAUCACUUAUAGAUGGACCCGCGCCGUAUUAGCUAGUUGGUAAGGUAACGGCUUACCAAGGCGACGAUACGUAGCCGACCUGAGAGGGUGAUCGGCCACACUGGAACUGAGACACGGUCCAGACUCCUACGGGAGGCAGCAGAC
Molecule: ribosomal RNA, 278 nt
Filed under: uncultured Staphylococcus sp.
Lineage: Bacteria; Bacillati; Bacillota; Bacilli; Caryophanales; Staphylococcaceae
Description: partial 16S ribosomal RNA
Rfam family: Bacterial small subunit ribosomal RNA
Source: RNAcentral